GAAAUGCGAUAAGUAAUGUGAAUUGCAGAAUUUUGUGAAUCAUCGAAUCUUUGAACGCACAUUGCGCCUUUUGGUAUUCCGAAAGGCACGCCUGUUCGAGCGCCGUUUAACAUCUAAGCCCCUGGCUUGUGUUGACAGUGGUCGCUAGAUCUUGUUCAAACAACGUUCAGCGUCUCACUCAGAGAAAGCACGUAGCAAAAUACGAGCACUCACUGAGAAGAAACGCUCAUCAACGAGUUUGGCCUCGAAUCAGGUGAGGUUACCCGCUGAACUUAA
This 276-nucleotide unclassified non-coding RNA is filed under the name uncultured Hypocreales. Its description in RNAcentral is "sequence contains ITS1". The stretch from base 1 to 105 matches the Rfam family "5.8S ribosomal RNA", at positions 50 to 154 of the family's 154-position model. Lineage: Eukaryota; Fungi; Ascomycota; Sordariomycetes; Hypocreales. The record is from RNAcentral.